Molecule: unclassified non-coding RNA, 143 nt
Filed under: uncultured fungus
Lineage: Eukaryota; Fungi
Description: sequence contains ITS1
Source: RNAcentral
GUUUUGUUUAUAAUGCUAUGACGUUCAUUACACAAUGUUUGUAAAAGAACCUUUCGGUUCAACAGUUCACAGGUGUUUGGGAUAUAGUUUUUAGGCACUAAGGCCAAUCACUAAUGAUCCUUCCGCAGGUUCACCUACGGAAA